AAUAACUAAAGAACCCUUAGGCCUAGGAACUUCAAACUUGGUAUGGUGAUUGGUCAUGACCAGCAGAUGACCUAUUGAUUUUGGGGUCAAGGGGUCAAAGGUCAAGGUCACAUUGACCUUGUAGGUAAAAACGGUUUCCGAUCAAUUAACUAAAAACGCUUAGGCCUAGGAACUUCAAACUUUGUAUGGUGAUUGGUCGUGACCAGCAGAUGACCCCUAUUGAGUUUUGGGUCAAGGGGUCAAAGGUUAAGGUCAUGACCAGUAGAUACUUGAUAACCCUUAUUAAUUGUUUGAUCACUGGGUCAGAAGUCAUGCAUAAUAACCUUAUCACAUGACUAAUUGGCUGCUGAUAGGGGGCAUACAUGUUUUACAAACAUAUCUUGUUUAAAAAGAUUAAGUUUGUAAAUGAAAUGAUCAUGAAAAAUGGUAUUGUUCUGGUGUACUGUUAUUUAAAAGUGUAUGUCUACUGAGAAAGUAUACUUAUUAUGUAAUAUAUUAUUGACUUAUUGAGUCCAAUCUUGUUAUAGUUGUUGUUGAUAAAUGAAAAAGGUUAAAUAAAAAAUAUAAAUACUA
This is a long non-coding RNA of Ruditapes philippinarum (Manila clam), 573 nucleotides long. RefSeq lists it as uncharacterized. The record is from RefSeq and is a predicted model, not a curated record. The transcript has 2 exons. NCBI's taxonomy places the organism in Eukaryota, Metazoa, Mollusca, Bivalvia, Venerida, Veneridae.